This is a long non-coding RNA of Tupaia belangeri chinensis (Chinese tree shrew), 372 nucleotides long. RefSeq lists it as uncharacterized. The transcript has 3 exons. Lineage: Eukaryota; Metazoa; Chordata; Mammalia; Scandentia; Tupaiidae. The record is from RefSeq and is a predicted model, not a curated record.
AGAGGAAGAACACGGCGCUCACUCUCCGCACACAGUUGUCGGCUUCUGUUUCUGUGAGCCGUGCUGUAAGCUGAGGCUUCUGGACUCUUCCUACCAGAAUUGAAAAGCCAUGUUCCUGGAGUAAGUCUAAGAAACAAAACCGCUUCUGUCUGCUUCGUCAGCUAAAGUAACACAGCCAGUCCUCUUGCGAGUGAACGCGGGCUCCAGGGAAGCGUGGAGACGUGGAUUGCCAUGGUGGGAGUCAAACAUUUCAGGGAUGUCGAUUCUCACUGGACACACACAGUAACCGUGACCCUCCCCUUGAUGAGAAAGAUCUCUUCCCAUGACCUGCCAUCGUCCCGAUUACCAAAAUGAAAUAGAAUAAAAUCACAG